UGUUUACAGCAGCAGGACUAAUACAG
RNAcentral lists this non-coding RNA (26 nucleotides) under Mus musculus (house mouse). The record is from RNAcentral. Lineage: Eukaryota; Metazoa; Chordata; Mammalia; Rodentia; Muridae.